Molecule: non-coding RNA, 100 nt
Filed under: Homo sapiens (human)
Lineage: Eukaryota; Metazoa; Chordata; Mammalia; Primates; Hominidae
Source: RNAcentral
AAGGGUUAAGAACCUUUGUACAGGCUUCUCUCAAGUGGGCCAAUUUGGUACCUAUAUCUAGGUAGCAUCUGGAGACUGGGAGUGUUUAUUCAUGACAGUU